AAGAUGUAAUCAUGGAGAGAAGGUUAGCACUCCCUGUGAUAAGGAUGGAGGAGGUCCUAAUGGCCUUUACAACCCAUAUACAGUUACGGCACUGCUCCCUACUCUAUGGCAUCUAACCAUGUUAAUCU
RNAcentral lists this non-coding RNA (128 nucleotides) under Phascolarctos cinereus (koala). The record is from RNAcentral. Lineage: Eukaryota; Metazoa; Chordata; Mammalia; Diprotodontia; Phascolarctidae.